This 403-nucleotide ribosomal RNA is filed under the name Verrucomicrobiota bacterium. Its description in RNAcentral is "Verrucomicrobia bacterium partial 16S ribosomal RNA". It matches the Rfam family "Bacterial small subunit ribosomal RNA", at positions 355 to 776 of the family's 1533-position model. Lineage: Bacteria; Pseudomonadati; Verrucomicrobiota. The record is from RNAcentral.
UGGGGAAUAUUGCACAAUGGGGGAAACCCUGAUGCAGCGACGCCGCGUGAGCGAAGAAGGCUUUCGAGUCGUAAAGCUCUGUCCUAUGAGAAGAUAAUGACGGUAUCAUAGGAGGAAGCCCUGGCUAAAUACGUGCCAGCAGCCGCGGUAAUACGUAUGGGGCGAGCGUUGUCCGGAAUUAUUGGGCGUAAAGGGUACGUAGGUGGUUUUUUAAGUCAGGUGUCAAAGCGUGGAGCUUAACUCCAUUAAGCACUUGAAACUGAAAGACUUGAGUGAAGGAGAGGAAAGUGGAAUUCCUAGUGUAGCGGUGAAAUGCGUAGAGAUUAGGAGGAACACCGGUGGCGAAAGCGGCUUUUUGGCCUGCAACUGACACUGAGGCGCGAAAGCGUGGGGAGCAAACAGG